AGCUAGGCUAGUGGGAGGGAAGGGAAAGUGGUCACAUGCAGAGCUAGGCUAGUGGGAGGGAAGGGAAAGUGGUCACAUGCAGAGCUAGGCUAGUGGGACAGGAGGGAAAGUGGUCACAUGCAGAGCUAGGCUAGUGGGACAGGAGGGAAAGUGGUCACAGGCAGAGCUAGGCUAGUUGGACGGGAGGGAAAGUGGUCACAGGUAGAGCUAGUCGGAGGGAAGGGAAAGUGGUCACAGGCAGAGCUAGGCUAGUGGGAGGGAAGGGAAGGGUGGUGACAGGCAGGGCUAAUAGGAUUGAAGGGAAAGUGGCCAUAGGCAGGGCUAGUUGGAGGGGAGGGAAAGUAGUCACAGGCAGAGCUAGUGAGAGGGGAGGGAGAGCCGUCAUAGGCAGGGC
Molecule: long non-coding RNA, 394 nt
Organism: Oncorhynchus tshawytscha (Chinook salmon)
Lineage: Eukaryota; Metazoa; Chordata; Actinopteri; Salmoniformes; Salmonidae
Source: Ensembl